GGCGGGCAGAGCCAGCCCCCUUCCCUGGCAGCUCCCCCACCCUCUGAAGGCAGGCACUCCAGGCACAGGGGCGGCACCUCACUACUCUCACUUCCACUUUUGGGACCACAGCACCGAAGCGGCACGGGGAAGCCAACACUCCAGCACUUGCUGAUGCCAUGAGGCAUGACUCUCAUGAGGACAGUCAAGCAGACCUGCUAAGAGGUGCAUACAGCGAGAAACUGAGGCCUCUUGCCAUCAGAUCAUGUGAGUGAGCCCUCUUGGAAGCAAAUCCUAUAGCCCCAGUUGAGCCUUCAGAUGACAGCAGCCCUGGAUAACAUCUUGAUGGAACCUUGUGAGAGACCAGAACCACCCAGACAAGCCACUCCUGGCUUUCUGACCCACACAAACCUUGAAAUAAUAAGUGUAUAUUGUUUUAGGCUACUACAUUUUGAGGAUAAUUUGUUAUGCAACACUAGAUAACUAACACACUACCUUUACUCACCAGAAUGGCUAAUAUUAAGAAGAUUGAUAGUAACAAGUGUUGAUGAGAAUGUGGAGCUACUGGAACUCUCACGGACUGCUGCUGGAAAUGUAAAUUGAAACAACCAUUUUGGAAAACAAUUUGGUAUUAUUUCUAUUACUUUCUAAAUAAUUGAAGGUAUGCAUUUCCAAUGACCCAUCCCUGAUGACCCAGCAAUUACACUUAUGGGAAUAUACCCAACGGAAAGGUGUAUGUGUAAAUGUGCGUAUCAGGAUACAUAUAUAGAACAUUCCUAACAGCAUUAUUUAUAAUAGCCCCAAGCAAAAAAUGGACCAAAAUUUCAUUCACAGUUCAUUCAUACAAUGGAAUACUGUAAGCUAUGAAAAUUAAGGAAUUAUGACUAUACACAAUACCAGGAAUAGGUCUCAGAAGCCUAAUUUGAGUGAAAGCAGUCUGACACAGAAAAGUCCAUGUUAUAUAAUUCUAUUUAAAUGAAGUUACCCUUGGUGAGGUGGAGGGGCCUCAGGGAGUUGGCCUCCCACCUCACCAAAUAAGACUCCAUGUCUUAUUCUUUACCUGGCUAGUGGUUACAUGGCUGUUCACUACAUGGUCUGCACAUUUUUGUUUUGUACCUUUUUGUGCAAAUGUACACUUUUAAAAUGAAUUACAAAACCACACAACCCAACAGCAUAACACCAAAAACCACAGUCCCAUGAGUCUGUCUUAACAGCCCUCAGAGUGGGCUCAGCAGAUCAUCCUGGUGUGAGUUCAGUGAGUGCUGUUUUAUCAGGGCCAAACCAUGCAGUUGGCCUGUGGUUCUCUAGGGGGCUUGACCUUCAGGAGUCCAUGGAAUGUGUAUUUCUUGGGUAAUUCUCCAUGAAAAAUAUUGCUUUAAUUAAAACUGGAGAACAGAGAGUUUGAGGUAACGUUCUCUGGUGAUAGCCUGACGUCCUGUUCCUCAGCUCGGCUGAUUCAAGGUCAAUUGCUAUUGUUUGAGUGUUUGUCCCCUCUAAAACUCAUGUUGAGGCUGGGUGUGGUGGCUCAUGCCUGUAAUCCCAGCACCUUGGGAGGCUGAGGCAGGC
Molecule: long non-coding RNA, 1545 nt
Filed under: Homo sapiens (human)
Lineage: Eukaryota; Metazoa; Chordata; Mammalia; Primates; Hominidae
Description: HSALNT0039557
Source: RNAcentral